AGAUUUAUCUGCACUGACAGCCACCCCCCUUACACACACACACUCUCUCUUUCUCAUUCUCCUUUCCCUCCUCUCCAUCUCCCUAUUGCAUUGUGUCUGACUGAUUUUCAGAGCACCUUCGCUGUUUCCCCCUUCUCGUUCCCUUCUCAUAAAAUAUCUAGACAGGAAGGAGGUGGCUGCAGAGGCUGAACAAUCUCAUAUUCUGCCUGCAAUGUCAUCGUUUCUUUCCCCCAUUUUAGGGGGCUGAAGUUGCCCAGCAAGGGAUGCAGAGGAGCUGGAAAAGAAGGGGGGAGCUCUCCAGAGGCAGCUGCGGUCAGGGGCAGGGACUGCCGCCAGAUGUGCCUGCCUUUCUGGGCUUUGAUGAGAAAGGGGCAGCAGGAGGAAAUAUUGGGAGACAAAAGCCCCGGUUUAAAUGAUCAUUUUCUUUAUUUAACAUGGCAGCAGACACUCUCUGCGUAGGAUCAUCAUGCCGAGCAUAAACUGGACUUUCCCACUUGCCUGGCAGGAGUCACACAGAUCCCUGCGUGCUAAAUGAACAUCUGAGGUUUGAGAUGGGGCCCAAGAUGCUUUUCUGACAAGUUUCCUGGUGAUGCAAUGUUGCUGUUGGGGAAACCUCCAUUUGACCCUUGAAUCCUGACUAUUGGAGAAACAGCACCAUAUUUUGGAUACUGAUUCAGACCAUAUACAGCCUUCUGGAGAAUCUUGCCCCAGUCCUGAAAGGUAUUUCUAUUCAUCUAGUUGGUGCUAUAACUGAGUCUUCAAAAGACAAUUCCACUGUUCUAUCAAGAAAGCUGCUUCAGGAUGGUGGGAAAUAUGGUUUUGGUAUCAGGAUGAUGCUGGCAUCAUAAAAUGAGUAUUUUUCUUCAGACUUCAGACUGCUGUGCUGGAAGCAAGAAUUUCAAGCAUUGGAUCUUAGCUUGCUGGGCUCCAUAGGGGUGGGAUCCACUGAGCUAGACCACUUGGCUCCCUGGCUUCAGCCCCCUUCCAGAUGUCCUUGGCGUGUACACCCUGUGGAAUCUGGUUCAUCUUCAAUCUGUCAGAAGGCAUCAGAGGUGGUUUUGACUCCUUAUGUCUUGGACCUGUGCACAAAAAGUGUAAAAUGGAUGGAACAUCAGACAGCUCAUUAUAGAGACAAGUAAGCUCCAGUUCCAAAGUUGGUUGACAGAACAAGUCAUGACCUUGUGUGGAGGAAAAUGAGAUCCCGAGUGAAGUCUACAAUGUCAUUGACUCUGAAGAAGGACUCAGAGACCCAUUGGUGUUUAAUGACCCUUACUGGCCUAUGCAAUGGAAACUGAUCUUGAGUGUGCCUUAAAAUUCCAUUUCAUGGAGAACUGUGCGUGGUUGAAUUUUGAUUGAUUACUCAAUUAACUGAUGUAUUGGUAGAGUGAUUAAGAAAGAAGACUUUGGGAUCAGACCAACCUGGUUUUGAAUUCAAGCUCAGCAACUUACUAGGUAAGGAGGAGAAAAGAAAGAAGGAAAAAUUGGAAAGAUAAAUGGGGUCUUUCCAGUGAAGGCUCAAUUUUCCUACAUAAUUAAGAGUUUGGAAUUCGGGCAAUAUCAAGAACCACAUCUGUCCUGAAAUCAAUUAUCUCUGUUUGAAACACAAGAAAUAAGAAGACCAUUUUGAGAAGAACAGAGAGUAGCCUUAAGAAAAUCCCUGUCGCAAGCACUCUGGGAUUUGGACUCAAAUGCUAAUUAUACAGAACCACUUGGGUGCCCAGCUGCUGUCCAUUCUCUACACUUAUCCCACCUGAUGGAAGGCUGUUAAGAAAAACAUCACUGCAAUGCCUAAUAAACAGACAUGGGUCCCAGACCCAAUAAGAGUGAAACCAUCCCCCUAUUUAAAUGAAAUUAUGGCUGAUGAGAAAGACAAAUUAAUUUCUCUGUCCCUAGUAUUACACAAAACUUUGGAUGCUGCCAUUGUUACAAUUUUAUUUUCCCCAGGAGCUCAGAGUCCCACCUUCAUUCUUUUUGUUUAAUGCUUAAGCUUGCCUGUCCACCUAUGGAAGACUAGA
RNAcentral lists this long non-coding RNA (2015 nucleotides) under Homo sapiens (human). RNAcentral describes it as "novel transcript". Lineage: Eukaryota; Metazoa; Chordata; Mammalia; Primates; Hominidae. The record is from RNAcentral.